AUAUUUCUUGCAAUGAAUAACAUUGAUGGGAAACUAUUUUGAUUCUUUACUACCAUCUUAUAAUGCUUUGUAGUUCUCCUUGGACUUUGAAGGAGCAUCAGUCCUAUUUAUAUUUAAUAUUAGAUGAUCUGAAGUAUAUUAAACAAUCAUAUACAAUGUAAUAUGUAUAUUUUAUUUUUAUUCAUAUUAUAGAUAAAAUUCUAUUGACUGAUUAAUGGUUCUUAAAUCCAGUUGCCCAUCAGAAUCAUCUGAGGAUUUUUAAAAAUGUCGACUUCCAGUCUCACUCGAGAUGUGCUGAACUAGAAUUAGGGUAGGGGUGGAGGUGAGAAGUCAGAAUGGAUUUAAAUAAGCUCCCUAGCUAAUUCUUAAUCAUAGACAGUUUGGGAAUCUCAUAUACACAGUGUCUGUAUUGAUUGUAGAAGAAGAAGAAUAAAAACAUAGCUAAAAUCUUUGUAUGCUAGGGAUAAGUGAGGGGUUGUUAUGUCAUAGUCCUUUGAGUACCUGGAUCUUCCUGGGUGCGUUGUGGGUUUUUUUGGCAAAGAAGUAGGUUGUGUGUGUGUGUGGCGAGAGAGAGAGAGGUUGGAAGUUAUGGAGUGCUGUAAGGCAUUAUAGGAACUAUGAAAACCUUAUUGCCCAGCAUCUAGUCUCCAGUCUUUCAUCCAGGCAGUUAGCACUUUUGUUUUGGUUUUGUUUUAUAACUGUACUCUGUUAUAUUUACAAUAAUGAGAUUUUGGUUAUAAUAUUCAUUCUAUUACCAAACUAGAAAAUCCAUAUUUGGUUAUGUUAAACCUUCUCUGGAAACUACCAGGUUUAAUAUGUACUUACUCUUUCAGCCAGGCUGGCUUUUAUUCUGUGGUCUGCUCAGUUCUUACUGCUGUUUUUCUGGAGUCCAGCUCCCAGUCUGCCCUUGCUUACCUCCUACAAGAGCGGACAUUAACUGG
Molecule: non-coding RNA, 941 nt
Organism: Ceratotherium simum simum (southern white rhinoceros)
Lineage: Eukaryota; Metazoa; Chordata; Mammalia; Perissodactyla; Rhinocerotidae
Source: RefSeq, a predicted model, not a curated record